Molecule: long non-coding RNA, 404 nt
Filed under: Homo sapiens (human)
Lineage: Eukaryota; Metazoa; Chordata; Mammalia; Primates; Hominidae
Description: non-protein coding lnc-SPSB2-1:1
Source: RNAcentral
UCAAAAAAAAGAAAAAUUACUGGUGAAAAGGCCAUCUUCCAGAAUACCAUGAGAGACAAGGUUUCCCUCUGUAACCCAGGCUGGAGUGCAGUGGAACUUCUGAGCUCAAGUAGUCUUCACAUCUCAGCCUUCCAAGUAGCUGUGACUAGAGCUUGUGACAGUCCAGCCCCUUCAGCCUGGAGUUCCACCUACCAGUCCCCACAUGUGCUGUCUCUCACCAAGGUUGCCAGUGACCUCUGACCAAAACAAUCUUUGGCUCCCCAUCACUGGCCUGUCCUAUGGGAAAACAUUUGCAUUCCUUAACUCAGCCUAGAAGGCCUCUGUGACUUGCUGUCUACUUAUCUGGCCCUUCUCAUGCUUCCUUUCUGGCUGUAGCAACCUUGAAGAUAUCGUACUUCCCCAAA